RNAcentral lists this ribosomal RNA (486 nucleotides) under uncultured bacterium. RNAcentral describes it as "partial 16S ribosomal RNA". It matches the Rfam family "Bacterial small subunit ribosomal RNA", at positions 28 to 523 of the family's 1533-position model. The record is from RNAcentral.
GACGAACGCUGGCGGCGUGCUUAACACAUGCAAGUCGAACGCUGAAGCACCAGCUUGCUGGUGUGGAUGAGUGGCGAACGGGUGAGUAAUACGUGAGUAACCUGCCCUUGACUCUGGGAUAAGCCCGGGAAACUGGGUCUAAUACUGGAUGCUACAUGUCACCGCAUGGUGGUGUGUGGAAAGGGUUUACUGGUCUUGGAUGGGCUCACGGCCUAUCAGCUUGUUGGUGAGGUAAUGGCUCACCAAGGCGAAGACGGGUAGCCGGCCUGAGAGGGUGACCGGCCACACUGGGACUGAGACACGGCCCAGACUCCGACGGGAGGCAGCAGUGGGGAAUAUUGCACAAUGGGCGAAAGCCUGAUGCAGCGACGCCGCGUGAGGGAUGACGGCCUUCGGGUUGUAAACCUCUUUCAGCAGGGAAGAAGCCACAAGUGACGGUACCUGCAGAAGAAGCGCCGGCUAACUACGUGCCAGCCGCCGCCGUAA